Molecule: long non-coding RNA, 512 nt
Filed under: Vigna radiata
Lineage: Eukaryota; Viridiplantae; Streptophyta; Magnoliopsida; Fabales; Fabaceae
Description: long non-coding RNA (VRAD_LNC002632)
Source: RNAcentral
UCUCACCAAUCUCUCUCAUUCCCAACUUUUCCCUUUUCUUUUUCUUUUGCAUUGAGCUCUUCUUCAUGCUUUUCUUCUUUUCUUUUCUUUUUCUCAUGAAUUUUUCUUUUCACAUUAUUUGAGCUCAAUGCUUUUCAUUUGUUUUUUUUUUUUCGAUUUUCCCCCAUACAACCCCAAACUUGACCUUUUCAUCACAUUCAAUUAAGCUCAUCCCAACUCAAGGUAAAGAAUUUCAAAACAAGGGUUCACAUACUGUUUAAGGCUAAGGUUCAAAAAGGGUUUAAUAAUUCAAGCACUUUGGGUGAAAAUUUGGCUAGAGAAGGGUUUUCAAAAAUGGCCUUGAUCAUAUGACAUUCACAUGCAAUUCAAUCGAUCAUCAAGAUUAAGGCAAUAUCAUCCAUGUUUUCCUGUGAACAACACAUGCAACAAUAAAAACUCUGGAGUUCAAAAUCUCACACACAUGCUUCCUCACACAAAAUUCAUUCAUACACCCUGCCUAGCAUCAUGACCAC